AACGAACGCUGGCGGCGCGCCUAAUACAUGCAAGUCGAGCGAGAAGGUGUAGCAAUACACUUGUAAAGCGGCGAACGGGUGAGGAAUACAUGGGUAACCUACCCUCGAGUGGGGAAUAACUAGCCGAAAGGUUAGCUAAUACCGCAUACGAUUCCAGGACUUCGGUCCUGGAAGGAAAGCACUACCGUGGGUAGUGCGCUCCUGGAUGGGCUCAUGUCCUAUCAGCUUGNGGUGAGGUAAAGGCUCACCAAGGCUUCGACGGGUAGCUGGUCUGAGAGGACGAUCAGCCACACUGGCACUGCGACACGGGCCAGACUCCUACGGGAGCAGCAGUAAGGAAUAUUGCGCAAUGGGCGAAAGCCUGACGCAGCGACGCCGCGUGGGGGAUGAAGGUCUUCGGACUGUAAACCCCUUUCGGGAGGGAAGAGGGAA
RNAcentral lists this ribosomal RNA (432 nucleotides) under uncultured bacterium. Its description in RNAcentral is "bacterial SSU rRNA". It matches the Rfam family "Bacterial small subunit ribosomal RNA", at positions 29 to 453 of the family's 1533-position model. The record is from RNAcentral.